GUGCUUGACAUGAAGAUCCAUUGUUGGCAGAGUUGCACAGAGAAGUUUGGUGGAAUUAAAGUGGCAUCACAUUUUCAUAGGAGUAUGACUGCAAGCACCUAAGGUAAGUUAGAAGCCUUACAACAGUUUACAGCAGAUUAUGAAAGCAACGUGGAAGACUUAUCCAGUGCUUGACAUGAAGAUCCAUUGUUUGGCAGAGUUGCACAGAGAAGUUUGGUGGAAUUAAAGUGGCACCACAUUUUCAUAGAAGUAUGAGUGCAAGCGCCAAAGGUAAGUUAGAUGCCUUACAACAUUUUACAGCAUUUCAGCAGGCAUAGUUACGGCUUAACUAUGUGGUUGCAGCUGCAAGCCUGAUUUUUGUAUCCAAUUUUACUUUCAGCUUUGCAUAGUAAUCGAUAGAAUCUUUGCCUGCUUGAUGAAACAUGCUUUCUAUGACCACUUCAUCAUUGCUGCCACAUUUUAUUAAGCUUCAAGCCUUAAUAAUUAUAACAAUGUUGAGUUUCUUCCUCUCCUUACUGUAUGAGAAACUGUGUUGACAUUAUUCUUUGGUUUCUUAUGUUAAUCAUGCAUAAAUAGAUCAAAGAGGUUGUUGCUUAUAUUUUUUGUUUUUGCUUUGAUUUUUCGAACUUUUGUCAAAGAGGUUGAAAAAAUUUGGAAAAUUGUGGAGUUUUACAACUAGAAUUGUGUUUGACAGUCAAAAGAACUGUGUUGAUCAACCACUCAGAUGUCAUGUGAAAAAACUGCUUACGAAAUGGAUAACUUCUAAUCUGAAAUGGUUCCAUUAUAUUCAUACAUAGUGAAUAAUCUCCAAGGACAAGAUAAGUUCAGGAGUGAAAUCCAAGCCUAAAUUAUUCUGAUUUGAGUAAGAUGUGUCAUAAUUUCUGUACAGAGCAGUUACUAGACCUAUGAGAACUGUAAAUCAAAUUGAAUACAAUUUUUUGAUAAACCAAACAAAUGGUGUAAAAUGAGGCAUUAUAAUUAAUAAAUCUGUGUUUGAUAACCAAACAACUGUAAACCAAACAAAUAAAUCUGUGUUUGAUAACCAAACAACUGUAAACCAAACAAAUAAAUCUGUGUUUGAUAAAGAUGAGGCAUUAUAAUUCUGUUUAUUACCUUUUUCUUUUUCUCUGCAAAAUGAACAAAGGUAUCGAAUUUACAUGGCUUUCCAUGAAUAUACUUGGUCCUCUGCAACAUAGAUACACUUCUGGUCCUAAGAUAGGCCUUGAAAAAUGAUGUAAAACGGGAUAUAAUGCAAGUUCUAAAAUUUGGAUAUACUAACAGUAACAAAUGCUUUAUUACAGUGAUAGUGGAGUAGUACCGGUCCUUCUGGAUAAUGGGUCUUCAUUGAAUCCGAAGG
RNAcentral lists this long non-coding RNA (1357 nucleotides) under Musa acuminata (dwarf banana). Its description in RNAcentral is "long non-coding RNA (MACU_LNC005659)". Lineage: Eukaryota; Viridiplantae; Streptophyta; Magnoliopsida; Zingiberales; Musaceae. The record is from RNAcentral.